RNAcentral lists this ribosomal RNA (253 nucleotides) under uncultured bacterium. RNAcentral's name for it is "partial 16S ribosomal RNA". It matches the Rfam family "Bacterial small subunit ribosomal RNA", at positions 524 to 776 of the family's 1533-position model. The record is from RNAcentral.
UACGUAGGGUGCGAGCGUUAAUCGGAUUUACUGGGCGUAAAGCGUGCGUAGGCGGUUUUGUAAGCCAGAUGUGAAAUCCCCGGGCUUAACCUGGGAAUGGCAUUUGGGACUGCAAGGCUUGAGUGCGGCAGAGGAGACUGGAAUUCCUGGUGUAGCAGUGAAAUGCGUAGAUAUCAGGAGGAAUACCGAUGGCGAAGGCAGGUCUCUGGGCUGACACUGACGCUCAUGCACGAAAGCGUGGGGAUCAAACAGG